This 294-nucleotide unclassified non-coding RNA is filed under the name Mycolicibacterium phlei. RNAcentral's name for it is "partial 16S-23S ribosomal RNA intergenic spacer". The record is from RNAcentral. Lineage: Bacteria; Bacillati; Actinomycetota; Actinomycetes; Mycobacteriales; Mycobacteriaceae.
AAGGAGCACCUUCAACAUGUUCCCCCGUGCCCUAUAAGAGGUAGGGAGUUGCGCGGUUGGGAUAGUCGCCGGCGCCUGUAGUGGGUUGUCCGGUGGGUGCACAACAAACGUUUGAUGCGGUGGGGGAAACACCGUGUCGAGGACUGCCAGACACACUAUUGGGCUUUGAGACAACAGGCCCGUUCGGCCCCCUGGUGUGGGGGUGGUGUCCCGGUUGCGGGGUGCCGGUGUGUUGUUGCCCUGCUUUGGUGGUGGGGUGUGGUGUUUGAUUCGUGGAUAGUGGUUGCGAGCAUC